RNAcentral lists this ribosomal RNA (533 nucleotides) under Pseudomonas sp. So12. RNAcentral's name for it is "bacterial SSU rRNA". It matches the Rfam family "Bacterial small subunit ribosomal RNA", at positions 71 to 600 of the family's 1533-position model. Lineage: Bacteria; Pseudomonadati; Pseudomonadota; Gammaproteobacteria; Pseudomonadales; Pseudomonadaceae. The record is from RNAcentral. RNAcentral also lists the same sequence under 2 other names.
GAGAAGAGCUUGCUCUUCGAUUCAGCGGCGGACGGGUGAGUAAUGCCUAGGAAUCUGCCUGGUAGUGGGGGACAACGUUUCGAAAGGAACGCUAAUACCGCAUACGUCCUACGGGAGAAAGCAGGGGACCUUCGGGCCUUGCGCUAUCAGAUGAGCCUAGGUCGGAUUAGCUAGUUGGUGAGGUAAUGGCUCACCAAGGCGACGAUCCGUAACUGGUCUGAGAGGAUGAUCAGUCACACUGGAACUGAGACACGGUCCAGACUCCUACGGGAGGCAGCAGUGGGGAAUAUUGGACAAUGGGCGAAAGCCUGAUCCAGCCAUGCCGCGUGUGUGAAGAAGGUCUUCGGAUUGUAAAGCACUUUAAGUUGGGAGGAAGGGCAUUAACCUAAUACGUUAGUGUUUUGACGUUACCGACAGAAUAAGCACCGGCUAACUCUGUGCCAGCAGCCGCGGUAAUACAGAGGGUGCAAGCGUUAAUCGGAAUUACUGGGCGUAAAGCGCGCGUAGGUGGUUUGUUAAGUUGGAUGUGAAAG